ACUCCUACGGGAGGCAGCAGUCGGGAAUAUUGCACAAUGGGCGAAAGCCUGAUGCAGCGACGCCGCGUGGGGGAUGAAGGCCUUCGGGUUGUAAACCCCUUUUAGCAGGGAAGAAGCGAAAGUGACGGUACCUGCAGAAAAGCGCCGGCUAACUACGUGCCAGCAGCCGCGGUAAUACGUAGGGCGCAAGCGUUGUCCGGAAUUAUUGGGCGUAAAGAGCUCGUAGGCGGUUUGUCGCGUCUGCUGUGAAAUCCCGAGGCUCAACCUCGGGCCUGCAGUGGGUACGGGCAAACUAGAGUGUGGUAGGGGAGACUGGAAUUCCUGGUGUAGCGGUGGAAUGCGCAGAUAUCAGGAGGAACACCAAUGGCGAAGGCAGGUCUCUGGGCCACUACUGACGCUGAGGAGCGAAAGCGUGGGGAGCGAACAGGAUUAGAUACCCUGGUAGA
This 446-nucleotide ribosomal RNA is filed under the name uncultured bacterium. Its description in RNAcentral is "bacterial SSU rRNA". It matches the Rfam family "Bacterial small subunit ribosomal RNA", at positions 335 to 794 of the family's 1533-position model. The record is from RNAcentral.